UUGAGCAUCAAACUUUUAAAUUGAAGAGUUUGAUCAUGGCUCAGAUUGAACGCUGGCGGCAGGCCUAACACAUGCAAGUCGAACGGUAACAGGAAACAGCUUGCUGUUUCGCUGACGAGUGGCGGACGGGUGAGUAAUGUC
RNAcentral lists this ribosomal RNA (141 nucleotides) under Escherichia coli. Its description in RNAcentral is "partial 16S ribosomal RNA". The stretch from base 18 to 141 matches the Rfam family "Bacterial small subunit ribosomal RNA", at positions 1 to 117 of the family's 1533-position model. Lineage: Bacteria; Pseudomonadati; Pseudomonadota; Gammaproteobacteria; Enterobacterales; Enterobacteriaceae. The record is from RNAcentral.